AUGAUUUUAACUAUAAAGUGAGUGGCGAACGGGUGAGUAACACGUGGGUAACCUGCCCAGAAGUGGGGGAUAACACCUGGAAACAGAUGCUAAUACCGCAUAACAAAAUUAACCGCAUGGUUGAUUUUUAAAAGAUGGCUUCGGCUAUCACUUCUGGAUGGACCCGCGGCGUAUUAGCUAGUUGGUGAGAUAAAGGCUCACCAAGGCAGUGAUACGUAGCCGACCUGAGAGGGUAAUCGGCCACAUUGGGACUGAGACACGGCCCAGACUCCUACGGGAGGCAGCAGUAGGGAAUCUUCCACAAUGGACGCAAGUCUGAUGGAGCAACGCCGCGUGAGUGAUGAAGGCUUUCGGGUCGUAAAACUCUGUUGUUGGAGAAGAACGUGUGUGAGAGUAACUGCUCAUGCAGUGACGGUAUCCAACCAGAAAGCCACGGCUAACUACGUGCCAGCAGCCGCGGUAAUACGUAGGUGGCAAGCGUUAUCCGGAUUUAUUGGGCGUAAAGCGAGCGCAGGCGGUCUUUUAAGUCUAAUGUGAAAGCCUUCGGCUUAACCGAAGAAGUGCAUUGGAAACUGGGAGACUUGAGUGCAGAAGAGGAGAGUGGAACUCCAUGUGUAGCGGUGAAAUGCGUAGAUAUAUGGAAGAACACCAGUGGCGAACGCGGCUCUCUGGUCUGCAACUGACGCUGAGCUCGAAAGCAUGGGUAGCGAACAGGAUUAGA
Molecule: ribosomal RNA, 721 nt
Filed under: Pediococcus ethanolidurans
Lineage: Bacteria; Bacillati; Bacillota; Bacilli; Lactobacillales; Lactobacillaceae
Description: bacterial SSU rRNA
Rfam family: Bacterial small subunit ribosomal RNA
Source: RNAcentral